CAAUUAUUUAAGGGAUUUCUGAAUGUUCUCUUCUGAUUUAUAGAAUAUGAUUUUACGGGGCAAACAUUUCCAGAAGAAUUGAAUGUUCAGACGAAGACUGUGAUAAAUA
Sebastes umbrosus (honeycomb rockfish) is the source of this 109-nucleotide long non-coding RNA. RefSeq lists it as uncharacterized. The transcript is spliced from 4 exons. The record is from RefSeq and is a predicted model, not a curated record. Lineage: Eukaryota; Metazoa; Chordata; Actinopteri; Perciformes; Sebastidae.